This is a long non-coding RNA of Hibiscus syriacus, 128 nucleotides long. RefSeq lists it as uncharacterized. NCBI's taxonomy places the organism in Eukaryota, Viridiplantae, Streptophyta, Magnoliopsida, Malvales, Malvaceae. The record is from RefSeq and is a predicted model, not a curated record. The transcript has 3 exons.
AUGGUGAUAAUGAUGAUGGAGAUGAUGGAAAUGUUGACUAAAAACUAACCUGAGCAAAUUCAGCUGUUUCAGAAUUGAAUGAUGGGCAUUUUGGUUCUGAAGCAAUAGUCAAUAUGGAACAUCAUUAA